This 566-nucleotide ribosomal RNA is filed under the name uncultured bacterium. Its description in RNAcentral is "bacterial SSU rRNA". It matches the Rfam family "Bacterial small subunit ribosomal RNA", at positions 390 to 916 of the family's 1533-position model. The record is from RNAcentral.
AGCCAUGCCGCGUGUGUGAUGAAGGCCCUAGGGUCGAUUAAAGCACUUUCGCCAUUGAGAUGCAUAAUGAUCUUGCUGCCGUUCUGCGGAGCGCAUACAGCACCACCCCGAGCUGAUCUACAAACGUGCACANGCAGUUGACGGUAAUACUGAGGGGGUUAGCGUUGUUCGGAAUUACUGGGCGUAAAGCGCACGUAGGCGGAUUAGUAAGUUAGAGGUGAAAUCCCAGGGCUCAACCCUGGAACUGCCUUUAAUACUGCUAGUGUUGAGUUCGAGAGAGGUAAGUGGAAUUCCGAGUGUAGAGGUGAAAUUCGUAGAUAUUCGGAGGAACACCAGUGGCGAAGGCGGCUUACUGGCUCGAUACUGACGCUGNUACGGGAGGCUGCAGGAAAAAUAUUUGUGUAGGGGAGCAAACGGGUUUUGAGGCAAUACAGAACCUGGUAGUCCACACCGUAAACGAUGAAUGCCAGACGUCAGCAAGUAUACUUGUUGGUGUCACACCUAACGGAUUAAGCAUUCCGCCUGGGGAGUACGGUCGCAAGAUUAAAACUCAAAUGAAUUGACGG